UGACGCCAGAGCCGCCCUCCCACGCACGGACUGCCAAGCCAAUUAGGCUGAGGUGAGGAGAGCCAAGAAGAGGACUGGAGUUCACAAGCCUGAAGGGCCUCCUGCCAACUUGAGGCAUUUCCCCCCAUAAAACUUUGGCGUUACUACUCCCUUCUUGGGGUCUACUUCUCAGGACUGGAAUGAACAUCUCAUGCAUCUACAGUUAUGAGAGUGUUGCCUAUUUCUACUUGGAAGACUGGACAAGAAACAAACUUUUUUUUGUAGAACACAGAGAAUCAACAAUUCAGUUUUAGAUAUAUUAGGUGCUAGAUAUCUAUUGUACACCUAAGUGAUAAUAUCAAAUAAGCAGUUGGUUAUAUAAGUCUAAGAGAUAUGUAAAGAGAUCAUAGCUAGAGAUGUAAUUGUGGAAAACAAAGUCACAAUACUGGAUGAGAUCUCUUAGGAAGAGAGACUAAACUAGGUAGAGCAUCCUGGAACAACCCUCAGGAAGACUCAAUAUUUAGAAAGAGAAGAAAGAAAGCAGAGCCAAGAAAGGAAACUAUGAGAAAGAAGGAAAGAGAAGAAUGCCCAGAGAAACCAAGAAAAGAGAAUGUUUCAUAUCUAAUGAAAUCAUCAAUUGUGUCAAAUACAGCUGAAAAGUCAUGUAAGAACAAAGAAAAAUGACCAUUAGGUUUGGCAACAUAGAGGUUAAUACUGAUUGUGAGAACUGUUUCAAUAGAGUACUGGGGCAGAAGGACCCAGGAGGGUUAAUAAGAGAAUAGAUAUAAAACAUAUAGAACAAUGGAAUAAAAUUGAGAGUCCAUAAGCCCAUAUAUUUAUGACCAUAUGUUUAUGAUCAGUUGAUUUUCAACAAGGAUGCCAAGACAAUGGCGAAAUAAUUGUCUUUUCAACAAGUAGUGUCGGAACAACUGAAUAUUGAUAUUCAAAGAAUGAAGUUGGACUCCUAUCACACACCCUAUAGAAAAUUCAUGGAUCAUACACCAAAAUUUAAGAGCUAAAACUAUAAAACUCUUAGAAGAAAACAUAGAAGUAGAUCUUUGUAACCUUAGAUUAAGCAAUGGUUCCUUAAAUACAAUACUAAAAGCACAACUGAUGGAAGAAAAAAUAAAUUGAACUACAUCAAAAUUACAAUCAUUUUUGCUGUGAUACCAUCAAGAAAGUGAAAAUACAAUCCAUGAAUGGGAUAAAAUAUAUCAUAUUACAAACCAUACAUUUCAUAAAGGCCAGUAUCCAUAAUAUAUUUUUUUAAAAGGCUUAAAUGUCAACAAUAAAAAGACAACCCAACUUAAAAGCAGGUAAAAGAUAUGAAUAAACACUUUUCACAAGAAGAUAUACAAAUAACUAAUAAGCACAUGAAAAGAUUCUCAACAUCAUUCGUCAUCAGGGGAGUGCAAAUCAAAUUAUAAUGAGAAUCCACACCCAUUAUGAUGGCCUGCAUCAAAAAGACAGACAAUAACAAGUGCUGACAAGCAUGUGGAGAAAGUGGAACUCUCACGCAUUGCUAGUGGGAAUGCAGAAUGAUGCACCUGCUUUGGGAAAUAGUUUUUCAGUUUCUCAGAGUAUCAGACAGUCACCAUAUACCCAAGAGAAAUGAAAGAAAAUUUCACAUAGAAACUUGCACACAAAUUUUCAUAGCAGCAUCAUUUAUAGCAGUCCCACUGUGGAAAUAACCCAAAUGUUUAUCAACUGAUGAAAGGAUAAAUAAAAUGAGACUUACCUGUAAAGUGGAAUAUCAUUUGACAAUAAAAAGAAAUGAAGUACUAAUGUUAUAACAGAAAUGACAAAUGUGGUGUUUCUGAGCCUGUUUCCUGUAUUAAAAUGUGAGUAAUGAUACUUUCUUCCAUCCAACUUCUGCACACAAAUAUUGAUGAAGGAAAUAGUUUGAAGUCCUUCAUAAACCACCAAGUACUUCCAUAUCUAGAAGAAGAACUUUUUGAACAUUUUAAUCAAAAAUUAAUAGGAAAAUACAGGUGAUUAACAGAGUACACUUACCUUUUC
Molecule: non-coding RNA, 1998 nt
Organism: Vicugna pacos (alpaca)
Lineage: Eukaryota; Metazoa; Chordata; Mammalia; Artiodactyla; Camelidae
Source: RefSeq, a predicted model, not a curated record